Molecule: long non-coding RNA, 467 nt
Filed under: Marmota monax (woodchuck)
Lineage: Eukaryota; Metazoa; Chordata; Mammalia; Rodentia; Sciuridae
Source: RNAcentral
GAUAACCGCAGGAUGUUUCAGGAAGGUAGGUUUCAGGAAGAUAGGUGGCCGCAGGAUGUCUCAGGUGAGAUAAGUAGCUGCAGGAUGCCUCCCAGGCAGGAUGUCUCCCAGGGGGCUGUCAGGCUAAUCUUUGAAGGAGAAUUUCCUUCUAGUCCCUGACAUGAGUCCAGGAGUGAGGGGAUGGGCAGGACCCAAACAAAGUGGUUAAGAGAGGCUUCUUUGAAGAGGUAAAUCUUGGCUGAGAAGGCAAGAGCACACAAUAUGUGCAAAGGCCCUGAGGUAGGAUGCAAAGAGAGGGCUUCCAAAGCCAGGUAGAAAAGGGUUUUGAAGGGUCAUGGGUUCAGAAGUCACUUCAGACAGUUGAGAAAGGGCUCUUUGCCCAUCUCUGCUAGUCCUCUACAGUCACACCUGAUUGUUGCCAAGUACCCCAAUUCCUCCUUCCUCAUCCUCUCACUUUUGUCCUUUCC